Esox lucius (northern pike) is the source of this 2914-nucleotide long non-coding RNA. RefSeq lists it as uncharacterized. NCBI's taxonomy places the organism in Eukaryota, Metazoa, Chordata, Actinopteri, Esociformes, Esocidae. The record is from RefSeq and is a predicted model, not a curated record. The transcript has 4 exons.
CACACACACACACACAAGCAAACACACUGACACACCCGCUCACUUCAAACAGAUUUGAAUAUUGAUUUAGAUUUAUAAACAGAGACAGACCGUGGGUUUUAUGAAUCGUCAGUCGCCUCUGUAGCAGUCUUUUUAGAGUAGCAUAGCAUAUGUCAAAAGUGCAGUAUUGAACAUGGACUAAUCAAACAUUUAUGUAGGCUAAUUUCUUUUUACAGACUGAUUAAUGGAAAUUAUCGUGGAUCACGCUCUCUGACAUUUUAACGCCUAACGUCUGUCACGGACUCAACUUGUUUUCUUUUUGGUUGGAGCAAAGUUUCCCAACAUGAUCAAAUUUAUGACCGGGCUUUCUUAGCAGCUCUCUGUCCUUGCGAGAUGGAGGAAUGGCAUGUUAAGGGACUUUCUAUCUUAAAAGGAGGACGACGUUUAAAGGGAAACCGAGUUAACGCUUCUGGCAAUCAGCGCUCCAACUGACUCCGGGCUAAUUGACGACGACGACGUCUUUUAUCUGUGCCUCUGAGCCUCUGCAACAAACACAUGGAAUCAAUUUAAUAGACUCUCCUUCAGACCAUCUAAAUGAGGGAGCAAAGUCAAGACCCGUGGAAAUCCAACAAGGACAAAUUAUACAGGAUAAAAAAUAAAACUCAAGGGUGAGGUGAGUGUUAGAGGGAUUGAUGAGAUCUCAGGCCUUGGGAGAGAGAGCCAGUUAAGUGGUGGUUUUUCCAUGUUAACCUCCUGUGCAGGUCUGUUUUGUUUGUCAGACCUGAAUAUGGAUGGGGGUCAGCUACCAGGCUCCCUGAGGUAUUCUGUCAGGCCUCCUGACAGCAGUGGAGCAUUUAAACCCCCAGUGGAUUAUACCUCCCUGUGAGAAAGGUGAGCACACACUCACACACACACACACACACACACACACACACACACAAACACUCACUGACACACUUCUUAUCUUUAUACUUUGUGGUCUGAAAUACAAUAACAGUAAACUAUUUCCUUGUUGGUUUUCCUUCUCUACCCUUUCUGAAUAUAUUGUCUUUUAGGAGAGUGAAAGAGAAAAGUGCUCCUGUGUGAGUCAGUCUGUGUUUGUGCCUUUUCCAAACCCCACUUUCCUUUGACUGACACUUUGGCGAUGCCCACAGCUCCCUGCUUCGACUUCUCAAGUGUACCCCCUGUUAGUGCCGACGCUGCCAAUUCCUCUCAUGUCUUUAAUAUCUCUCUUUGGGCCUUCGCGUUUUGCCAGUCAAGGCUCCCCCAUGACAGUUGGACGUUGCUGCCGUCACAUUUUGGAGACAGUGCUGGGUGGGUGUUUGUUGCGUUCCCAGCCCCUAGCCUGGAGGGUUUUUUUGGGACGGCUGGCCCGUCAGUCAGCCACUCCCCUGUAAUUAGAUGAGCAAACACGGAGGCGGCCUGGCCUGAGAGGGCGGGGAGGGGGGUGAGCUGCACCGCCAGUUCACACUUUGAACAGGGAUGUUUUCUGUAAAGCUCGUCUUCCCUACGUAAGGAAGGUUUAGCUAUAACAUUGUGUAAGAUCUAGAAAAUGCUGUCACUAGCUCAUUUACAAAUGCCAUAAAUCUAGAUUUGUUUUGUGUGGCUGAAAUGGGGUACAGUUUUAAGAGAAAUUUAGAGAAUACCAUUUUCGGAAUUUCUUAGUUGAAUAUGUUAUUUUCUGUAUUUCAUAUAAAUGUUGAAUAAAAAACAACUGUCCUGCAUAGUGUUUGAAUCUCUAAAUGAAUCAGCUAAAUACGAUUAGUCCUAUGUUUGUCCCAUAUUUGUUUUGUGCAAUUACGAUAUCAAGCUGAACUGAAUGUUGAAACAUUUAUUUUGCCAUUUUGGAAUCACUGAACACUGAAGAUGUUUCUGAAUACUUAAAAAACCUUUUAUAGAUGACACCAUGGUUAAGGAUCAUCAAAAUAUUGUGAAUAAAUAUAAGUGAGAAGGUUACAGACCCUCCCCUUAAGAUUCAGUCUGGGAGUUUUGCGAUUAACAAAAAGCAUGUAAUAUGUUGUUUAUAUGUGUGUAAUUUGUAGAAGAAUUCCUACCAUGCCUCAGUUAGCUUUUACAUUCCAAGUUUGAAAUGAUCUUGAUGACAUGGGGCACAAAUCAGCAAGUACAUGACAAUAGUAGAAAAUGUUCACGGACAAUUCUUGGCUCGACAGUGGCAAUUUGACAACCUGUUGCCAGAAAUCGUGCACUUUAUCUUUCGAAAAUGUUACUUUAAUCUUUAAUCUGGCUGGUUAAUGUAGAGGUCUACACCCUUUUCAAAAAUACAUUGGAUGUUGAGUCAAUUUGAUCAAUUAAGAAUGGACAAUUAAUUUUGUAUUAUUUGUUUAAUCAGGUUCACCAUAUCUAUUUUUGAAAGUCUCAGUGGCAAAACAUCUGACCAGUAACUAGAUACUUUAAUUCACAGCCUUUCUGACCAGUAACUAGAUACUUUAACUCGCAGCCUAUCUGACCAGUAACCAGAUUGCCUGUGGGUUAGAGUAUUUAAUCAGUAACCACACUGGCUAGUGAUUAGAACAUCUGGCCAGUAACCAGACCAGUAACCAGAUAGCCUAUUAGUUGAAAUCUCAAGCCAGGAAACAUUUGUAAUUUUGUACUUAAGCAAGGUUGAUAAUCAUAAUUGCUCCUGUCACUAUGUCUGAAAAUGUUGGUUAUGUUUAGAAGUGUUUUCACACCAAUGUACUGGUCCAAAAAUGUUUAUUCUAUCUUCUGGAGAGGACUAGAGUGUUUUUGACAAGCCUGUCUCUGGACAAAAUUAUUAGAAUUUUCUCCCCCCAUGGGCAACUCAUUUUGUUUCACUGUAUGUGUAGUAUAAAUACUCUUCCACUGUUUCAAUGUUUUGCAAACAAUUACUUGAGGAUAUUUCAAUAUAUAUGCCGGCAAGCAUUAAUAAAGCAUUAAUAAAGUGUUAAUAAUGAAU